CCUGGCUCAGGACGAACGCUGGCGGCGUGCCUAAUACAUGCAAGUCGAGCGGACAGAAGGGAGCUUGCUCCCGGAUGUUAGCGGCGGACGGGUGAGUAACACGUGGGUAACCUGCCUGUAAGACUGGGAUAACUCCGGGAAACCGGAGCUAAUACCGGAUAGUUCCUUGAACCGCAUGGUUCAAGGAUGAAAGACGGUUUCGGCUGUCACUUACAGAUGGACCCGCGGCGCAUUAGCUAGUUGGUGGGGUAAUGGCUCACCAAGGCGACGAUGCGUAGCCGACCUGAGAGGGUGAUCGGCCACACUGGGACUGAGACACGGCCCAGACUCCUACGGGAGGCAGCAGUAGGGAAUCUUCCGCAAUGGACGAAAGUCUGACGGAGCAACGCCGCGUGAGUGAUGAAGGUUUUCGGAUCGUAAAGCUCUGUUGUUAGGGAAGAACAAGUGCGAGAGUAACUGCUCGCACCUGACGGUACCAACCAGAAAGCC
This 489-nucleotide ribosomal RNA is filed under the name Bacillus pumilus. RNAcentral describes it as "bacterial SSU rRNA". It matches the Rfam family "Bacterial small subunit ribosomal RNA", at positions 18 to 492 of the family's 1533-position model. The record is from RNAcentral. Lineage: Bacteria; Bacillati; Bacillota; Bacilli; Caryophanales; Bacillaceae.